GGGGGCGCUAACGCCUCGGUCUUCGAGCGGGACCACUCCGCCAGGCCCGCCCCGGGCGCCCCUCCACCUCUGCACCCCGGAGGAACUGCUUGGCAGUUCCCAGGGCCUCGCACGCUCUGCUCUCAAGGGCCAAGGAGGGUCCCCCCAGGGAACCGGCCUGAGCGGCGGCGUGUGGAGCCGCCCACGGCCUUCAAGUGUGGAGAGGCGACGCUGCCUGAGCCACAGGCCUUGGUGCCGACCCGCGAGCGGUGCAAGAACCCCCUUGGGCAGGAGGCGAACACAGGAGCUCCUGUCUCCCGCAUCACCCAUACCUGCCACACAUUUUUCAGGUUUCACAGAGAAAAACACGCUCUGUAUCAACUUUGACGAGGACAUGAACACACUCAUUUAACCUGGACUCCGUUGAGCGCCUGCUCUGUUUCAGGCUAGGUGGAUGGCACCCAAACCUCUCACCCCCUGCCCACAGCGGCCACCUAGGGAAAAGGCGGGAACAGGCUCACACCUGCACGCACCAACACAAGGAGCAAGCACACACGGACACACACUCAUGCCCUCAGACCUCCUACCGCACGAAAACCUAUGCAAGACACACACAAACUCACGUCCGCACGCACAUCACUCUGGUCCCAGGAGCACGAAAAUCCACAGCCGCUCACCGGUGCCACUGCUAGCAGCAGUCCCUGUCGGUUGACCUGCCGGGAAAGCCUGGGCACCCAGAAAGAGAGGGGGCUGCCGCCCCAGGCUGCAGCGGGUGCUGCUGAGGUGGGGUUCUUAGAGCGCGCCCGGAGCCCUCGCGCGCCAGUAGGGGGCAGGGUUCCAGUCCCACCCCGGUUUCGUUCCGGAGAGUGUAUCCCGCCUUGGCAGCGCGCCUUGCAACUUCCUUCUUUCGUUCUCCCUUAGAAGGUGAACCCCAAAAAUAUGUCUCCGGGGUGGGGAGCGUUGCACAGAAGUUCUGAAAAAGUCUGAGCCGCUACUUGUCCAAUGGGUAAAUCCAUGCGAGCCAGUCCUCCAUUCCACACUCGGCCAGACUGAGUUGCUUCGCGCACUGGGGCGCCGCCGACCCCCGCGCAGGGACCCCAGUGGUUGUCAUCCCUUCCCGGCCUCCUCCCUGCACAGCCGUGGAAGCCGGGCGUUCUGAUCCCGGGCUUAAAGCGGCGCAGAGACAGGAAGCACCGCCAGUCCCUGAGAAUCCCCCUUUCUGCUCCUUUGACCACGUCCGUCACGAGACGCCCUUCUUUUGUCCUCAGCCAGGCCCCACGCCCACGUAGCAGUCCGUGGGAGCAGCCGGCUGCACGCGAGAAAGGAGACCUGCUGGGGGCAUCAAAGCCCAGGGCGUCCGCAGAGCGUCAGCUCCUGUCUCCUCCACCCCAGCCGGCGACCUUGGCCCUCUCGAGGACAGAAGACACUCGUGUCCCCACCCGGGGUGCGUCUUCAGAGAGUGGCAGGCUCGCCCGGGGAGCAGGGAAAAGUUAAACGCAUCUGAGGAGAGAAAAGCGGGCAGCCCAGCCGUCGGUGGAAACAACGAUUUCGGUUUCUGGGGAAAGCAGGGACCUGCCGGGUGUGGACUUCGUAUUCAGAGACAGAGAACGGAACUCCCACGACCCCACCGGCGCCCACCUCCUGUUCCGGUGCUGCUGGGACAACGAAAGGAAGGGUGAAUGUUGUGCGUCGAGGAACAGGUGCGGAAGGGCUGGGAAAGGAUUGGGUCCCUUCCUUUUUUUUUUUUUUUUCCUUUCUCCCGCGCUAUGUCAUCAGUGUUCUGGGUUCUCACAGCUGCCUAGGGGACGCAGAAGGCGACCGCGACCCAGCGCGUGAGGACGUAGGGUGGGAGAAGGAGCGCGGGGGGAGCGGCGUGCGGCGACGUAGGGGAACCGCGCGCCCCAGAAGGUGCGGGCUGCGCGCCUGGGGGUGGGGGGCGGCGGUGAGCGCCGUGGCGAGCUGCGCUGGAGGAGCACGCGCCUCCCCUCUUGCGUCGCCUGCGCCCGCCCUGGCGGCAGGUGGUCCGCGAUUCUGGGCCGCUGCUGCCGCGGACCCGGUGACAGCUAGGAAGGAAAGAGGGGCUCGAGAUGGCCGCGGUCGGGCGCCGGGCGAUGGAACUCAUCCUGGUCCCAAAAGACCGUGCGUCCCAGGGUCAGGGUCAAGGCCCUAAGUGCCGUCUCCCCGGGGUCUUUUCUCCAAGUCCCGCCGGUGCCGCUGCUAGUAGUACCGAAAUGGUUUGUCCUGGGUGGCGGGGUGUAGAUGGGCUGGGUGCUCUCUAGUGAGUUUUCCGCUGCUCAAUCCGGCGGUGGAUGCCUGCCUGCUCGGGGCCGCCCCGCAGUGGAGAGAGAUUUUCGGCGUGGACGGUCCAGAAGAAGGUCGGAGAGGCGCCCCAGAGGUUCUGUUUCUUGGAGGGACUCACAAACCCGAGCCCGACUUCAGGGAAGAGGCGUGGAGAGAGGCUUUCUUUAGGACGCUUACAACCGUUGACCCUGCCGGGGCUAAGUUUCGAGCCACCAGAGGCCCAGCGUACGCCUAGCGCCACGCGUGCUCUCGGCCGGAGAAAGAGGGGGAAACCCCGCCUGGACCCCAGGACUCCGGCCGGGAAGUUCCGCUCGCGCUCGGCGCCGGGCAGCAGCCACCCGGCCCCCGCCCCGAGGCGGGCCGCGCUCUGGGGGCAAAGGCGCGCGCCGCUCGGGGUAAAUAGACUCUGGCCUGAGGGCGGGGAAGCUCUGUUCCCGCCACCGGUGGAGCCGGGCUACGUGGCAUUGCACAGAAGCCUCGGAGUCGCAGCUUGCGAAGCCACGCAGGCCACAAAGCCAUCCGCAACCUUGUCGUUUCUACAGCCAUCGUAGCUCCGGGGCCUCCACCUCUGCGCUCUGGGGCACCCUGGCCCUACAGGCCCUCCUCUGGGACCCUGGGGCUCCGGGCAGGGGAGCGCUGCCUCCGCGGCUUGGUCCGCCCGAGGUCCUGCGGAGUGACCAGCCCUCGGGACAGGGCCAGAGCGGCCCCUGCGAAGCUGCCGGCCUUUACUCCCUCCCUCCAAAGGCGCACGUGUCUGUCCGUCAGGCCAGGGGCUCUCAAGCCCUCCAAAGCGCUUCGUUGGCAGCGUUACCCGGGGCGGGGGAGACGCUGCGCCGUGGUGACUUUUCCGGUCCCUGGGAUCACAGGUCGUGCCUAUCCCUCACGAGCGUCUGGUAGCUGCACAUCUGUCGUCUGUCUAAUCCGAACCAAGGCGCUGUGUGGGCGAAACUGCGGAGCCAGGUUCGGGAAACGCUGGGGUCCUUCCCAUUGCGGCGGCAAUGCCGGCGCUUGGCCUUGCUUCCUGCAGCCUCGUAGAGCGCCUGCGCUUCCCAGGCCGCCGGCGGCCGCAAGCGCGCUGUUCAAGGGCGGUGAAGGCGGGCGGUUGUGGCUGUCCUGCGGGUCGGGGACUACCAUGGCCAGCGUGAGAGCCAGUGGCCGGAGUUGGAGGCGGGGCCCUCACUGAUGAGUUGACGUCCGGUGAGGUUCUCUCCGCAGUAUUUCGGAUAAUUAUUGAAUUCCUUCACUUGCCUUCUACUGUGUAGACGUGACCCACGGUCAGUGCCGGUUACUCUGGAAUACAGAUGGCACGCUGGGGAGGCCAGGGUCCGCUGCUGCCUCUGCCACCGCCUGCCUCUUAGCUCUCCAUCCCCUCCUGGCCUCUCUGCUCAGGAAACUGAGGCCCCCAGGGGCUGACUUGAGGCCCUGGGUCAUUUCGUUCCAUUCUCGCCGGUUUACCGCUGGAGUUCGAGGGCCCCAGGGAGGGAGGAGGCGGUCAGUCCCUGCUCUCCAAAGACCAGAACGGAGCUGCCCCCUGCCACGCCCCUCCCCCCAGGCCCUACUGGAAGCCCUCACCUCCUACCCUACCUGCAGAGAGAGCGGCACAAGCUCAGGUGAUGCUGUCCAUUUCAAGGUAGGGUCUCUGCCCUCUGCCUUAUUGCUCUGAAUCAAAGUCCUCAGACACCUUGGAAAGUUACCCUGAGACACCUGAACCGAUGAUGAAGAAGGUGACAGGCUGCGACCCACGGAAGUGAGCUAAUGGACAGUGGCUGAAGCCAGGCUUAAGAAAGCAAACCAGCAAGGGUGAGUCAUUUUCCUUUCUCCUUCCAAGGAAUGAGCCUUGGACCUAAUGGGGCAACAGAGGGAAGCCAGAGGAAAUUAGAAAAGCAGAGAAGCUGUGGUGGAGGGGUUUAUAGAAGCAAAGUAACAUUUAGAUAGCUCCUAGCAUGUAUGUGAUACUUUGCAGAAUGCUGAUGGUUUCACAAACUUCCUAUUUACCAUCCACAGUGACGUAAGCAGGCAGAGGAGAAAAGCAGACUCUGGAUGUUGUUAGGUGUGGUUGCCAAGCUCCCAGGAGCCAGCGGAGGCUCCUUCUUCUACGUUCCACUAUGAAAGUGACUUGCUGGGUUUUCAGGAAGUAGCAGCUACCCAACCAGCCCGAGGAGUGAAGACUGCUCCCCUGGGGAUGGAAGUGGCAGUUGUUGUGGGGGGUCUCGGUGGUGCUACAGAGACUUACAUGUACCUCAAAAUCAGAACAAUCUGCCUUAAAAGUAACUGAAUGGCCGAGGCCACCUCAUACAGGACAAGCUUGGAGAAGUAUCAGAAGUGCUUUUUCCUCUCUUAUUGGACGCAACACCUGUCCAUUAAGGAGCUCAGCAAAUGAGCCGGGAGCCAGAGCUUCCUUUAGAAAGUGAAGAAUUUUGUGGGCAGUACCUAAAGGGACUGUAGGUUUUUUAACAGGAGAAAGUGGGGUGGGGGGACUCAGUACCUGCUUUACUCUGAAAGACAAGACCCUGAUGCCCGAGACCCUGAUGUUGGAGACCCUGAUGUCCAUUUGGAGCCUUUGACUCCCUUGUGGCAUGCAUUUGUUAUUUUUUAAAGGAGUAGGGCAGCAGUCACCCUGAGGGCACAUAAUAUUUCAGAGGCAGAAACAGGGAACAGUGUUAGGGACAGAGUGAGAGCAAGAGAAGGUCUCAGAGACGGGGGAAGGAGGUGAGAGUGCCGGAUGGUGGCGCCCAGACACAACCUCUAGGGGCAGGCAGGUGUCCCUAGAGACCAGGAAUCAGGAGCCAGGGAAGGCACAAACAAGUAGUCCCACAACACCCAGAGGCAACUAGGGUGGAUCAGGGACCAAGCUGGAGAUCAGGAAAGACCAAAACCCACUGUAUCUCAUAGCUUUGCCAACAAAAGCCUUGGGUUCAAAGUCUACUCAGCAGAGGCAAGCUUCCUACCCAGAAGGAGCUGGGGCAAAGAGGAGCAAGACACGAGGCCGUAUUGGGGUUCCUAUAACAAAAUACGUUCCGAAACAUGAGCUUACCUCCUGCUCACAUCCAGUACACUAACAGUGCUUCUGGUGAGCAGGCGGUUUCCCACAGGUGACUCAAGGGCCAGCUCCUUCUCUGGGUGGCUCUCUCCUCAUCUGGGACCUUACAGUCCCUUGCAUUGAGCUGCUGAGUAAGGAGAUUGGAAGGUGGGAUGGGAGGCGUGGGUGUUGGGUAGGUUUGGAGGUGCCACACAACAUUUUGGAUGGAGCUUAGCUUCAUGACCAACCCAACUGCAAUGGAGCCACCUGUGUGACCAGAAUAAUAUCCCAGGAGUGGGAUUGAUUGAGGGUCUCUAUGUGAAGAGCUAGUCAGUGCUCAGUGACCUUUAGAAGAAAGGGGUCUCAGCUGGCGCCGUGGCUCAAUAGGCUAAUCCUCUGCCUUGCGGCGCUGGCACACCGGGUUCUAGUCCCGGCCGAGGUGCCGGAUUCUGUCCCGGUUGCCCCUCUUCCAGGCCAGCUCUCUGCUGUGGCCAGGGAAGGCAGUGGAGGAUGGCCCAAGUGCUUGGGCCCUGCACCCCAUGGGAGACCAGGGGAAGCACCUGGCUCCUGCCUUCGGAUCAGCGCGGUGCGCCAGCCGCAGCGCGGUGGCCAUUGGAGGGUGAACCAACGGCAAAAGGAAGACCUUUCUCUCUGUCUCUCUCUCUCACUGUCCACUCUGCCUGUCAAAAAAAUUUUUUUUUAAAUUAAAAAAAAAAAAAAAAGAAGAAAGGGGUCUGUGCCCCAUCAACUUUCUCUUUUCUAUGCAUGUGGAUUUUGGUUUUGCCACUGGUUUUGCUACUCUGGUGUUUGUGGAGUGUGUUUUGUUUUGUUUGCUCAUCUGUUUUUCCAUAGUGAGGAAUAUAUGUGGAGAUAUUACUCUUACAAUAUAGGCCAAAAGUCGCUUCUUUUCUCUGGGUCAGUUUCUUCUGUCUUGCAGUAUAUUAAUAUGGGCGAGGGCUGCCUGGAAGUGAUGAAAAUGGUUUAAGCAAAAGAGAAGAGUAUUUCUUUCACACCUUUAAAUCAUUUUUAUUUUAUCUUUUAAGUUUAUUUAUUUGAAAGACAGAGGUGAGGGGGUGGGGAGAGAGAGCUCUUCUGUCUGCUGUUUCUCUCCCCAGAUGCUGCAACAGCCGGGGCGAGGCCAGGCCAAGGCCAGGAGCCAGGAGCUCCCUCUGUGUCUCCCAUGAAGGUGGCGGGGACUCAGUACUGAGCAUCGUCUGCUGCCUCCCAGACGCACUAGCAGGCAGCCUGAGCCAGCACUGCAAUACGGAGUUCCUGGCUUCAGGAUUUGGCCUGGUCCAGCAGUGACUGGUGCAGUCAUUUGGGGAGUGAACCAGAGGAUAGAAGAUACUUUUCUCUGUCUGCCUUUAUGUCUUUCGAAUCAAUCAGUCAAUCAUUUUCUCUUAAAAGUCAGGGUAGGCAAUAUAGCAUUGGUAUAAAGUCAAGGUCUUCCUACUUUGUAGCUCCACUAUACCUGAUCACAAUCUCAUGGCGGCAGGAUGGAGGAAGGAUUGAAGAGAUCAAGCCAGGUACACAGCACCUCUUAGGAAAGAUUCUUAGAGGGGUGAGAAUUUGGCCUACAGGUUAAGACACAGGGUGAGAUGCCAGGAAUCGACAUCACAAUGCCUGGGCUUCAUUCCAGCCCCGGCUCCUGACUCCAGCUUCCUGCUAAUCCAGACCCUGGGAGGCUGCAGUGGUGACUGUGACUGUGUUCCUGCCACCCAAAUGGCUUUGUGACUUCAUCGAGGUCAUCUGGGGAAUGAACCAGCAGGUGCGAGCUGGCACUCUCUCUCCCCACCCUGACUUCUCAAAUAGAUAAUUUUAAAAAGGGAUUCUAGAGCAGACAACAUCUCUUUGGAUGGAAUGUGACCACAGGAUGACACGGCACUGCCAGACAGAUCUGUGCAGGGUAGGUUUAUUGCAGGGCAACUAAAAUCCAGGGAUUCUCUUCAUGCAGGAAAAGGGGAGAAUGGAUAUUGGAGGACAUUGGAUUUACACGCGUAAGGAUUUGGACUUGGUGAUCACCAAGGACCUUUUCCUAUGUUCCGCAUUUCUGCAAAAACAAAAACAAGAACAACAAAAGCGACCACCAACUGUCCCUGGGAUGUAGUAGUAAGUCUGAUCAUUGCUAUUUCUCAAGACACAGAAGAAUUACAUGACAGUGCAAAGUACUGCCCGAGGCAAGGAAGUGGAGCCAGCUGACAAGCUACACCUCCUACUCCCACACCAGUGCUGUCCCACGAAAGAGCAUUAGGCAAAGGCAGUUUGCACCACAGGCUGGGAACCAGGCUAAAGAACAUUUCCAAAGCCCUAGAUGAAUUUGUCAGAACUCAGGGGGCUUCCAGAGAUGUUCCCGCUUUGGUCCGGCCUUUUCUUGGGCUGGCUGAGCUGGCAGAGAAGAGAGAGUUGGCUUUACCCUCUUGCCAGGCUAUUCGUAUCUCCCUUUCGGGACCUGGAAGUUUGUUGAUUUGCAGAUGACACUGUGCCGUCCUAGUUGUGAGGGCCCAAGCAGAUGACACGAGUUCAGGAAGAGCUCACGAAAGCUCUGAGUGGACGGGCCAGGGCCAGGUGAAGCGAAGCGCAUGACCCACAGACUGGGGCUGUGAAAUCUGUGGUCUGGGAGCUGAAGAUAAAGGCACAGGGAUUGCUGUUAGCUAUUGCCCAAAGACAGUGGCUAAUGAGCUGGUGUGGUCAAGCUCACUGCCAUCCGUCGCACGUUCGUCAGGACACUAAGAGGUGCCAAGCUUCACGCCUAGUUCCCAUUUGCAAACAGGCGUGCGACGUGCAUCUGAGGGGCACACAGCCUCGUUCCAGGAGUCCACAGGAAGGAGUUUGGAAAUAUUCUCCUUCCUCGCUCUCCAGAACACUGUGUGCAGCGUGGAUCACCGUGCUCAGGGGAAGCUGCAACAGAGCUGGAAAAGUUCCAAAGAAGAGGUGGAGCGAGAGGGCAAGGGUCUGCCACAGUGCCCUGGUCACACGGAUAACAGUGUCACUCUGACCCCAGCUCACAUGUCACCUCCACCGUGAAGCCCUGCCCGGUUAGCUCCCCAGGAAGGACUGACUUACGCUUGCUUGAGGGUCCCACAGGACUUUAUAAGCAGUUCUGGCAUGAUGUUUUAUUCUAAUCACAUUUUCUUUUUAACCUAGAUUCCUUUUUAAAAUACAUAAAGGCAAAGACUUUAUAUCUUCAGCACAGUAUGUAUGUGCACAUACGACAUGCCUAAUAAAUUUUGGCAAAAUUA
Oryctolagus cuniculus (rabbit) is the source of this 8538-nucleotide non-coding RNA. The record is from RefSeq and is a predicted model, not a curated record. NCBI's taxonomy places the organism in Eukaryota, Metazoa, Chordata, Mammalia, Lagomorpha, Leporidae.